RNAcentral lists this ribosomal RNA (240 nucleotides) under uncultured bacterium. Its description in RNAcentral is "partial 16S ribosomal RNA". It matches the Rfam family "Bacterial small subunit ribosomal RNA", at positions 105 to 334 of the family's 1533-position model. The record is from RNAcentral.
CGGGGUAGGAGGUAACGACGUGAGGGAAACCCGCCUCCAAAAGGGGGACAACAGUUGGAAACGACUGCUAAUACCGCAUAAGCCCACGGCUCGGCAUCGAGCAGAGGGAAAAGGAGUGAUCCGCUUUGAGAUGGCCUCGCGUCCGAUUAGCUAGUUGGUGAGGUAACGGCCCACCAAGGCAACGAUCGGUAGCCGGACUGAGAGGUUGAACGGCCACAUUGGGACUGAGACACGGCCCAG